RNAcentral lists this transfer RNA (67 nucleotides) under Marmota monax (woodchuck). RNAcentral describes it as "tRNA.Ala". The record is from RNAcentral. Lineage: Eukaryota; Metazoa; Chordata; Mammalia; Rodentia; Sciuridae.
GGUUGUAGCUCAGUGGUACAGCGCUUGCCUCGCAUGUGUGAGGCACUGGGUUUGAUCCUCAGCACCA